AGCAGCCGCGGUAAUUCCAGCUCCAAUAGCGUAUAUUAAAGUUGUUGCAGUUAAAAAGCUCGUAGUUGAAUUUCGGGAUCAAUACGUCGGUCGUGCUUCGGUACGUACUGGCAUUGUUGGUUUCUACCUUCUGACGAACCAUGAUGUCAUUUAUUUGGUGUCGUGGGGAAUCAGGACUGUUACUUUGAAAAAAUUAGAGUGUUUAAAGCAGGCUCACGCUUGAAUACAUUAGCAUGGAAUAAUGAAAUAGGACGUUUGAUUCUAUUUUGUUGGUUUCUAGGAUCGACGUAAUGAUUAAUAGGGAUAGUUGGGGGCAUUAGUAUUCAAUUGUCAGAGGUGAAAUUCUUGGAUUUAUUGAAGACUAACUACUGCGAAAGCAUUUGCCAAGGAUGU
RNAcentral lists this ribosomal RNA (393 nucleotides) under uncultured Glomeromycotina. Its description in RNAcentral is "SSU rRNA". It matches the Rfam family "Eukaryotic small subunit ribosomal RNA", at positions 569 to 967 of the family's 1831-position model. Lineage: Eukaryota; Fungi; Glomeromycota. The record is from RNAcentral.